This 253-nucleotide ribosomal RNA is filed under the name uncultured bacterium. Its description in RNAcentral is "partial 16S ribosomal RNA". It matches the Rfam family "Bacterial small subunit ribosomal RNA", at positions 524 to 776 of the family's 1533-position model. The record is from RNAcentral.
UACGAGGGGGGCAAAUGUUGUUCGGAAUCACUGGGCGUAAAGGGAGCGUAGGCGGGUUCUUAAGUAAGGUGUUUAAUCCCGGGGCCUAACCCCGGACCGGCACUUUAAACUGGGAAUCUUGAAUAGUGGAGAGGUCGGUGGAAUUGGAGGUGUAGCGGUGGAAUGCGUAGAUAUCUGGAGGAACACCGGUGGCGAAGGCGGCAUCCUGGACCGAGAUUGACGCUGAGGCGCGAAAGCCAGGGGAGCAAACGGG